CACUACCUUGACCACCAUUUCGCUUUCUUGCUCUCGCCGCCACCAACAACAUAUCAAAUCUUGAAUCCUUCCUUGCUCACAAACCCCCAAAAUCUUCAUCUCCUAGCUUUCUUGCUCGUCCUGAUCUGUGAAGCCCCUGAGUGUAUGCGCACAAAGCGACUCGUGGGAUUCUAGAUGGCUCCCAAGAGAUCUAGCGGAAAGGGAAAAGAGAAGGAAGGAGCCAGCAUCGCCCCAACUCUGGAUGAUGGAUGGUUAGCAAGUAAGUGUACUGAAUCCGACAUCCUUUCCCUUGUCGAUGAGUGUCUGCUGCAGCCUCAUUCUAUCAUCAAGUGGCGGCCUAAGUUAGGUCAUAGUCGCCCAUUUGAAGGGACGAAUGCAAUAGUUAUUUUUUUCCUCCUUUGUCUAGCGCGGAUUUGGGAUUCCCACUUUUGAUUUUUCUUUCUCGGACUUCUUUUUCAUUGGGGUAUUCAAGCACAUCACUUGAACCCUAACUCCAUCUUCGUGCAUCUGUGCGAAGCAUUUCUAGGCAUCGAGCCCCAUUUCGAUCUUUUCAGCACUUGUUCCAUCGCAAGCCUCAGCCCAGUAGCGAGGGUCAAUAUGUUGUUGGUGGUGCCGGUCUUCAACUAUGCCAUGGGAUGGAAAAAACUCUAUAUCCCUUACAAGUUGUCUAGCAAGGUAAUUGACUGGAAAUCCAAGUGGUUUUAUGUCAAGAACCAUGCUCCUCCACUACCGAGUAGGAUACCCGGUGUUCCCCAAUACCGUGGCGAAUGGACUACAAAGCCUCAGAGCCUGUUCCAACUAAACGAUCUGCUGGAUUGGAUUAAGGAUUUAAAGAAGGAACAUCUGAUUGGAGCUUCAGUUGUGAUGUCUUGGAUGAGCCGUCGGAUCCAGCCAUUGCAGCAACGAAGCCAUUUUGGAUUCUACUAUAUAUAGGCGUAACUGAUCCUUCCCGCUUCACUUCGGAGAAGAUUUCUGAAAAGGAAAUGGUGCGUCGAGUGCGUCGAGUACUCGAUGGAGUGCUUGGUGUCCCAGUAGUACCAGACGUCUUUAACAUAAAGGAUCCUCCCAAAAAGGAGGAUAUAAAUGUGUAUGGGAGUAGCCCACCGGUGCCAGAGGUUUGGCGUCCUGAGCAUCUUCUCCCAAGUGCACAUACACCAAACCCACUUCCAUCAGAAGGAGAUAUUGAAGAAUCGAGGAUGACGUCGAGCUCUGAAUUUGAUUAGAGUUUCUCCUCUGCAGACUCUAAAGAAGGAACUGGAGUGGGUGGCAUGGACAGGAGUCCCAGUAUGGAGAGGUACUCAAGCACGGGUCACCCCAAAGCACUAAGGACGACAACGGUCAAGCGUAGGGCCGCAACCUCAGUUAGAGAAACUAGCCCAAAGCAUUCAGAGCUGAGGGUUGAGGCAACCAGGGAUGAUUUGGGGCAGAUAUAGAUGCAUCACUUGCCUCAGCAGACUUGUCGAGUGAUGCCGGGGCCACUCUGCCGGAGCAAUUGAUGCCGGCAAGUGGUUCUGAAGAAAAAACACCUCCAGAGCCAGCUGCUGUGCAUGGUAAAGAGGCUCUCUCUGCCCAGCAAGAUAUUCCUACGGGUGGGGAGGAGAGUGUGAGCCCCCGGCAGGUGCUACUGCCCUCUGCAUCGAGUGCUUUGGUGAUCAUGCCGGUCCCAAAGCUGUUCAGGGCAAGGAAGCUUCCAAUCAACAAGUCGACCUACAAGGCAACCGAUUUGGGCAUCGGGGAUGCUGACCAUGGCAUUUCGAUGCCUGCUUCUAAGCCCAUCCCAAUGACUGUGUUGCCAUUGCCAGCCACACUGCCAGUGGACGCGGAAGCUGCUGCAGAGGAGGCAACUGCCAAGGGAGUAGAUGUCCCAGCUGCUGAGGAGCCAGCAUCGCUUGAAGUAAGCGACGCCCUUCUGCAGCUGGAAGCUCCAGAUCUCCCUGCCAGUAAACCGAUCGCACCUCCUCCAGUAGAUUGCAACCAAUUUCCUAUUGCUCGGUUGUUUCAUCUGGUCGGGACAAUAGGUCUAGGACCUCAGUGUUGGGUAGCUGAGGAAUGAGAGGUCAUGGAAGUUGGAGCCGAAAGGGAGGUUGCUCCUCCACCGACCAGAGAGGAUUCACCUGCAGCAGUUCCUAAUCAAAAGGUCUCCCAUUGACGGGGGACAAAAUUAAGUUAAUGCAACAGAAUAUGGCUGAAUGCCAGAAGUUUUUGACUGAACUAGCCGGUUAUGAGGCUGCAAAGUCUCAGGAGCUGGAGAGGUUCAAAGCUGUGCAGGGCCGAGAGAACCAGCUCCUGAAGGAACAAAUAACGAAGCUUGUAGAGGACAAGAAGACUCUCGAGGAGAGAAAUAAGUCACUGUAAGAGAGGAACAAGUUUAUCUCCAAGAACCACAAAGAUGAUUUGGAGAUAUUCAACAAGAUGUUGAAAGAUGGGGACAACCAGCUCCUUGAAGCGCUAUGCAGCAAAUCAAAGAGAUGGCCAAACAAAAAGAUCUUCGGGAGAAAGAGCUCGAGGAGCUAAAGACUGCUGCACAGGCCGUGGUUGAUAUGGUGGAUCCACCCAAGGAGGGAACUGUACAAGACAAGACUCUGUUGGAGCGUCUGCAAGGAGCUCCGCAGAAGAUCGUCAAGUACCUCUCAGACACCAGCCGGCAGUGCGUGUCUCAUGUACUCGGCUUGGUGAAAUUCUAUUGGCCAAAGACGAAUCUGAUCCCUCUCGGAGAAGGCAUGUCUGUGGAAUGAACAGAGCAGAAAUUUGACGACUUUGUGGAGGAAGUGAAGCCAAUAGCUGACAGGAACGUGGAUGUCUUGGAGCAAGAGCUUGAUGCAGAGUCUUAGUCCAUCACGUAGAGUAAAACUUUGUGUAAGCCUUGAUACAAUACUGAUCUGUAUGAUGUAAUUGCGAGAACAUAAUGUUUGCGAUGUGGUGUACAGCUUGUGUU
This is a long non-coding RNA of Panicum virgatum (switchgrass), 2935 nucleotides long. RefSeq lists it as uncharacterized. Lineage: Eukaryota; Viridiplantae; Streptophyta; Magnoliopsida; Poales; Poaceae. The record is from RefSeq and is a predicted model, not a curated record. The transcript has 6 exons.